RNAcentral lists this ribosomal RNA (253 nucleotides) under uncultured bacterium. RNAcentral describes it as "partial 16S ribosomal RNA". It matches the Rfam family "Bacterial small subunit ribosomal RNA", at positions 524 to 776 of the family's 1533-position model. The record is from RNAcentral.
UACGGAGGGAGCUAGCGUUGUUCGGAUAUACUGGGCGUAAAGCGCACGUAGGCGGCGCGGUAAGUCAGGGGUGAAAUCCCGGAGCUCAACUCCGGAACUGCCCUUGAAACUGCAGUGCUAGAAUCCUGGAGAGGCGAGUGGAAUUCCGAGUGUAGAGGUGAAAUUCGUAGAUAUUCGGAAGAACACCAGUGGCGAAGGCGACUCGCUGGACAGGUAUUGACGCUGAGGUGCGAAAGCGUGGGGAGCAAACAGG